GUGGCAAAGUUGUACUUUCCUUAUUUUUAACUCCUUCAAAAGUGAAAGUAAAGUGGAAUUCUGCAUAUUCCGCUUUAGGAUGGCAGUUUAAGAAUUAUUAGUAGCUGGGUGAGUGCGCACAGUCGCAGCCGCUGACGUACUUGAUAGUUUCAGGCCAGCAUGGGAAAGUAUGCACCAACUGUAAAUAGGAUUCACUGCUGGUCUGCUUCAGAGGAUUUCCUACUCUCGAAGACUAUUACCAUAAACACAUUUAAGUGGGCCCCUGCUCCAUCCUUGCUUCUCUACAGUUCAUUCUCCUAGAGGUUGACCAGAAUCAAAGAAAACUCCCAUGCAGGUGGGAUAGAGCCAGAGUUGAGUGAAGAGAGAGUCAUUUUUCCCCUCUGAAAAGCAAGAAAUUCGCCCAAUGGCCAGUUUAUGAACCCUGACCUUAAGAAGCCUGCAAAAAAUGUAUCACACACCCUGCCAGCUGCUAUUUUAUGUGAGUUUACCAGUUUGGGACAGACUUCAAUACCAAAAUAAAAACCAUCAGUCACCAAACCUCUGAGAAAUACCAAGGCGCUGGGAAGAUACAAGGAAGUUUUAUAAAAAUUUGGUAAAUUAUACCUUUGUAAGCAGAAUUGAAACAUUUACCUUUUUCUACCUGAU
This is a long non-coding RNA of Bos taurus (domestic cattle), 645 nucleotides long. The record is from Ensembl. Lineage: Eukaryota; Metazoa; Chordata; Mammalia; Artiodactyla; Bovidae.